RNAcentral lists this non-coding RNA (29 nucleotides) under Bombyx mori (domestic silkworm). The record is from RNAcentral. Lineage: Eukaryota; Metazoa; Arthropoda; Insecta; Lepidoptera; Bombycidae.
UGUAAACUGUCCCAGACUUCUUUACAUGU